GUCUUUUCCUUCAAGCUGGUGAUGGAGUCUUUGGCGCGGACCAAUCCACUGUUGACCCCACUCUGGGGAAGAAUGGGAGACAGGGCUGUCUUGGACCAGCAGAUAGAGGACACAAUGAAACAGAAGAAGCCUGAAUCCUUGACAUGGAGCCACCAUACUCCAUUCCAACCACCUGUGAAGACUUUCAGGGGAACGAUAGCCUCAAUGUCAUAAGCAGCCACCUAUGAAGAGGCCCAUGUAGCAAGGAAUUGAGGCCUCCAGCCAAGGGCAGGUGAGUGCCCCAUUUUGGUAGCACAACCUCUGGCCCCAGUCCAACCUUCAGGUGACUGCAGCCCCAGCCAAAAUCUUGUUUGCAACCUCGUGAGACGCCCUGAGCCAGGCCCACCCAGCUGAGCCCCUCCAAGUUUGUUGUUUGAAGUUUUGGUGUAAUUGGUUUCACAGCAAUAGAAAGCAUUACACAAAGUGUCUUUCUAACCUGAAGACUCAGAAGGUCUUGGGUUUCCUGUGGGUAAUUGUUCUGGAAACCAAGGCAACAGGACCUAGGGCCAACUAAUUUCUCCCAGUUACUAGCCGUAUGACCUCAUGGAGAGGACUUCACCUCUCUGUGCCUCUGCUUCCCUACCUGUGAAAUGGAGAUAUAACUAACAACUACCUUCACAGGGUUCCCAUUGUCCUUCCUCCUACCUGGAAACUGACACUCUCUCAACCAGGGUCUCCAUCACCGCCUGGUUCUCUGUCCCCCUCUUUCCAGUUCUCUGUCCCCACCCAGCCCCUGUGUCUGUUCCUUCUCUCUCUGGGUCUCUAUCCCCCUCCUCUAUUUCUGGUCUUCUGUCUCACCCUGAUUCAGCUCUGUCCCCCAAAUCUCAGAGUCUCUGACUUAUUUUUCCUGAGUCUCUGCCUUUCUACUCUUUAGGUCUCUGUCUUCUUUUUUUUUUUUUUUUUUUGAGA
This 948-nucleotide long non-coding RNA is filed under the name Homo sapiens (human). RNAcentral's name for it is "HSALNT0398447". The record is from RNAcentral. Lineage: Eukaryota; Metazoa; Chordata; Mammalia; Primates; Hominidae.